This 253-nucleotide ribosomal RNA is filed under the name uncultured bacterium. RNAcentral's name for it is "partial 16S ribosomal RNA". It matches the Rfam family "Bacterial small subunit ribosomal RNA", at positions 524 to 776 of the family's 1533-position model. The record is from RNAcentral.
UACGGAGGGGGCGAGCGUUAUUCGGAAUUAUUGGGCGUAAAGGGCGCGUAGGCGGCUGUACAAGUCAAAGGUGAAAUCCCUCGGCUCAACCGGGGAACGACGCAUGAAACUGGCAAGCUAGAGUACCAAAGAGGGGGGUGGAAUUCCCGGUGUAGCGGUGAAAUGCGCAGAUAUCAGGAGGAACACCGGUGGCGAAGGCGGGUCUCUGGGCCGAUACUGACGCUGAGGAGCGAAAGCGUGGGGAGCGACCAGG